RNAcentral lists this ribosomal RNA (1449 nucleotides) under Brevibacterium sp. EB298. RNAcentral's name for it is "bacterial SSU rRNA". It matches the Rfam family "Bacterial small subunit ribosomal RNA". The record is from RNAcentral. Lineage: Bacteria; Bacillati; Actinomycetota; Actinomycetes; Micrococcales; Brevibacteriaceae.
ACACAUGCAAGUCGAACGCUGAAGCCUGGUGCUUGCACCGGGUGGAUGAGUGGCGAACGGGUGAGUAACACGUGAGUAACCUGCCCCUGACUUCGGGAUAAGCCCGGGAAACUGGGUCUAAUACCGGAUACGACUGCCGGACGCAUGUCUGGUGGUGGAAAGUUUUUUCGGUUGGGGAUGGGCUCGCGGCCUAUCAGUUUGUUGGUGAGGUAAUGGCUCACCAAGACGACGACGGGUAGCCGGCCUGAGAGGGCGACCGGCCACACUGGGACUGAGACACGGCCCAGACUCCUACGGGAGGCAGCAGUGGGGAAUAUUGCACAAUGGGGGAAACCCUGAUGCAGCGACGCAGCGUGCGGGAUGACGGCCUUCGGGUUGUAAACCGCUUUCAGCAGGGAAGAAGCGCAAGUGACGGUACCUGCAGAAGAAGUACCGGCUAACUACGUGCCAGCAGCCGCGGUAAUACGUAGGGUACGAGCGUUGUCCGGAAUUAUUGGGCGUAAAGAGCUCGUAGGUGGUUGGUCACGUCUGCUGUGGAAACGCAACGCUUAACGUUGCGCGUGCAGUGGGUACGGGCUGACUAGAGUGCAGUAGGGGAGUCUGGAAUUCCUGGUGUAGCGGUGAAAUGCGCAGAUAUCAGGAGGAACACCGGUGGCGAAGGCGGGACUCUGGGCUGUAACUGACACUGAGGAGCGAAAGCAUGGGGAGCGAACAGGAUUAGAUACCCUGGUAGUCCAUGCCGUAAACGUUGGGCACUAGGUGUGGGGGGCAUUCCACGUUCUCCGCGCCGUAGCUAACGCAUUAAGUGCCCCGCCUGGGGAGUACGGUCGCAAGGCUAAAACUCAAAGGAAUUGACGGGGGCCCGCACAAGCGGCGGAGCAUGCGGAUUAAUUCGAUGCAACGCGAAGAACCUUACCAAGGCUUGACAUACACCGGACCGUCCUGGAAACAGGUCCUCUUCUUUGAAGCUGGUGUACAGGUGGUGCAUGGUUGUCGUCAGCUCGUGUCGUGAGAUGUUGGGUUAAGUCCCGCAACGAGCGCAACCCUCGUUCUAUGUUGCCAGCACGUGAUGGUGGGAACUCAUAGGAGACUGCCGGGGUCAACUCGGAGGAAGGUGGGGAUGACGUCAAAUCAUCAUGCCCUUUAUGUCUUGGGCUUCACGCAUGCUACAAUGGCUGGUACAGAGAGAGGCGAACCCGUGAGGGCAAGCGAAUCCCUUAAAGCCAGUCUCAGUUCGGAUCGUAGUCUGCAAUUCGACUACGUGAAGUCGGAGUCGCUAGUAAUCGCAGAUCAGCAACGCUGCGGUGAAUACGUUCCCGGGCCUUGUACACACCGCCCGUCAAGUCACGAAAGUCGGUAACACCCGAAGCCGGUGGCCUAACCCCUUGUGGGAGGGGGCCGUCUAAGGUGGGACUGGUGAUUGGGACUAAGUCGUAAGGUAACCGUAAA